UUUCUGGUAAUGAUGAUGUCUGAUAAGUUGGAGGGUCAUAUAAAACUCCGUCAAUUUCAAGGGGCAAGUCGUUUAAAAAGGAAUCUGUAAAUAUACCGCUCUGUAUAUUCCCUGACAUGUCAUUUAUUUCAGACUCGCUAAAUAAAUGGUCAACAUUAUCGCUACUGUCAUUAAAACUUGUUGAGUCGCCUGCGUUUUUUUCGCAAAUUUUUUUAAAAGAAUCUACACUGUUGGACAAAUUUGUGAUAAUAUUGACCUUUAAAUCAUGGUCCAAUACUUUCAAGGAACAUUUAUUUACAGUAUUCUAUGGAUAAUUCGGUACUGGGUCUUUUCUGAAAGAUUUCAUUACGCCGGGUUGAAAUACACUUUGACUAAUCAACUGAGUCAGGGCUUAAUGGAUAAAGGCCACAAAUUCAGAAUCCAUUUAUAAGGGUUUCUGGUUUAGAAGCCUUAUCAAAAGCUUCUUUAAAGAGGAUGUUGUGCCGAUUAAUUGGUGUACAACUCUUUUUUUGUUUAUGAAGUCGGCACACAGAUUUCCAUUCAACUUUUAGGGGUCUAAAUAUACUGACAUCACAAGGUUGUAGUAUGUGUGUCGAGUUCGGGUAUAAACAAUAAAGGAUGAUUCUGUUUUACACAGAAUUCAUACAGGUCCAAAUUAUAGUGCAAUGUAUGAAAAGAAUUACUGGAAAUAUAACGCUAUUUUCCAAAAGCCAGGGAUAAAAUAUAUUCGCAAUAUAUUUAAAAAACGUUGCACUGGUCAUCCACCCAGAAUCGGACCUCCCAAUGGCCCAACCUUUUGGCACCGAAAGAGCUAGCGCUUUAGGAAUUCUUUUGUAUGGGAAAACAAUCAUUGGUGGGACUGCCACACCAUUAGCAGCAUAGUUGCACAGCACUGUAAUUGACUCUUUUUCAUUUCCGCCUGCAAUCUCGUAAAGGUUUUUAAACUUUUUGGAGGGCCCUAGAACCAAACCUGACUUCAUACACGUUCUUAUACCGUUAAGUACUGGAUAAGUUCUAAAAACCAUUGCCUUAUACCAUCCUCAGUAACCGCAGCACCAGUUUUGGAAAUAAUCUCUGUAUUUCUUUUUGAAAUUUGUGGGUGCCUCUGAAGAAAAAGCUUUAACCAUUUAUCUCCUGGUCUAUCAUCAGUAAAAUUAUUUGGUCGUUGAGAAUCUUUAAGGACUUUUUGUACUGAGUCCUUAACCUCAUUGGGAUGCAUUGGAAAUCCCAAUUUGGCUUUUGACAAAAUCCAAUUAACUAAUCUAGUUUCAUGAGCGCUCAAGACUGUAAAGGGGCCCAUUUUUUCGAAUAUGUGGCACCUUUCCCGUUAAUUUGUUAUGUAAAGUGGACUUUGGUAUGCCAUAUUUAGAAGAAGCUUUAUUUAAUGAAAUAGUUGCAGCUUGAAUUUCACUAAUUGCUGCAUCCAAAGCUUCCUCCGUGUAUUUAAAACGUGAAUAUUUUGGAGCCAUCUGAAAAAUAAUUGUCGUCCAAUAAAUGAACACCAGUAAAUAAACGUUUUCUAUUAACUUUCAUUUACUGGUUUGACUGCAUUUGGGUAUAAAUGCUAUUAUUCAAGUUAGUUCAGUUCUAUGUAAGAUAUGUUUAAGGUGGAAAUUCGCAUAAAAAAUUAUUUUAAGUAAAAUCCAGUAAAUGAACACACUGUUCAUUUACUAUAUUUAAAAAAAAAAAUUAAACCAGUAAUUGAACAUGCAGGAAUUAUUCAAUAAUAAAAAAGAAUUAGGUAUAAACUCAUUUUAAAGAAAACAAUUAUAGUGUCCAACAUAUCCUCGGUACAUAUCUUACGAUCGGUUUUGCUUUUAUAUGACCUAAAAUAAAAUAGGUGAGGAUAAAUACCAAAAAAAAUUUUGAUUCUUAUGGGGCAUAAGUCCGCAGUGCGGAUUUUUACCCCACACACUACUGCGGACUUUUGCCCCAAAUGUAACGGGCUCACAAAGAUAUUUCCUACCUUUACGUACAGCGAGGAUGGAGGCACUACUCUUUAUGCUUUACAACCAAACAUAACCUAUAUAUUGUAAAUAUUAUAAAUGCGGAUUUAAAGUAAUCCGUUUUUAGUUACACCUUAAAUAGUAUGAUGACGAAAUUACUUGAACAGCUUGCAAAUCUGUAACUUACCUCAUAAUUCGCACAAUUAUUCACUACUAGAAAUAUUUUUCUCGUCGAUGCAUGCAUGUGUAAGGCUAAAACCACUUGUUGCGACAUUGUCAAAUUGCAAGGGAUAUAUCAGUAAAAUCAUUUUCGGACUUUUGCCCCACUUUAUUCUAUGGAUAUUCCUAGUUUUUAAAUAGUAGCAGCGGCUAUUUCGCCUUGUUCUUAGAGCAUGCUUAUGUGUGGAUUUCUGAUUUUGCGAUAUUUGUUUUCCUAGUCGUUUUUUUGUUAGUUAUACUCCACACUACCUUACAAUUAAAACUGCAUUACACAGCUCUAACCCCAGUAUGGAAAUUGCUUUUAAGGGUGCCACCCGCGAUUUCGCACAAAACAGUUGUGUAAAACAACCAAGUUUCAUCGAAUGAUCUUAAAUAAAUACAACAAUCGUAUCCAUAUUAAGGAGCAUCACAAAAGGUAUUUGGAAUUAUAUAUUAAAUCAUGUCCUUUUAUAUUAAUGCAAUCAACUAAAUUGGGAUCAAUUACUAGGUUUAAUCAUAUGUUAUUUAUAUUGGAAGGAAGGAGGGAACCAUGGCCCUCCUUACAUUACCAAAUACUUUGCAUUACAAUCUUAGCAUGAAUAAUUGGUGUCAAUAAUUCUAGCGACUCAAAACUACUGGUGAAAGGUAUGCUACGUUUUGUAAUUUUUUUGAGAUUUUAUGUCAUAAUUUCUUAGGGAAUACAGUAAUCUGAAUCUAUCAGACUUGAGUCCCAAAUUUAACCUAAAGUUCCAUUUCAUUACACUGAGACAUUCCAAAUCUAUUUAAAACUCGUUUUAAACAGUGUUGCCAGGUCAAUAAUUUUGAAUGUACCAGAUUGUCUGGGAAAAUGUACCAAUUUGUGUAUAAAUUGUACCACUUUUUUUGUACAAUUACUAUUGGUGGCAAAAGGAGAAUAGUAUAGCUCGCCGCUGAAGCGCGCCGCGAAAAAUUUUUGAAUUUUAAGAUUAUAUUUUGGAGUAAAAUUGCGUCAAAACUAUUCUAUUUACAUUAAAAUAUAAAAUUCUCUAUUUUGGUCAUUGAAAAAUGGUACUUAUUUUGGUAAUAAUUAUUCGGCUGAUAUAAUCAAUUGCAGUAAAACCACAGAAGUAAAUAGGUAUAUGAAUAUAUUUUACAAAAAAAAAACAAACAAACAAAAAAUUCAUACAGAUAUAGAUAAAAAUAUAGGAACUAAAUCACCGAUUCUAAAAGGUCUUAACAUAAAAAUAAAACGAAUAAAAAAACUUAUUAAUUAAAAUAAGAUGUAUAUGUAUAUAAAAAAAAAUUUCUCUUUGUCCAGAUACUUAAAUAACAAAAAACAAAAGUAAACCUCUAUUAACUAAUGAUGUAUACAUAUUAUACAAUAAAUAAUUAAUUACAUUUUAUAUUUCUAUAAAUAUUUUGGCUUUUGUUGCAAAAGUUUUUCUGAAGAUUGCCAUGUAUAGCAUACGUUAUUAUCCAGCAUAUCUGAGGAUAAUAAGAUGGAAUUGCAUGUAGUUAUAUUCAGUCUAUUUCUUAGAUCGUCUUUAAUAACACUCAAUUUGGAAAAUUUUCUUUCGGCUGCAGCAGAAGAAUGAGGCAGGCACAUUACAGUCUUUAUUAAUUUUGUUAGGUUUGGAAACAUUUCCAUAUCUAGCUCAGUUUUUACAGUGAAAUACGUGUGACGAAAAAGAAUCAAAAUCAGUUGUUUGUUUUUUAAAUCAAUAUCUGGCAACAUUCGCCACUCUAAGUCUAAUUUCUGAGGGGAUAAAUUGAGAAAUUUAAAAUACUUUUGAGCUUCAAAAAUUGACGCAAUAUCGCCACUGGCGGAGAGUGGACUGUAGUUAUUUUAUGUUUUUUAAUUACGGACUCGAUAAUACGUAAUAUGAUUUAUUUGGUAACAGAAACUUAUAAAUUAUACAGAUAAAAAAUGUGUGCGACCGGUCUUUUUUUUGUUGACAGACAGACCGAUACGUAAGCUGGUUCCCGGAAGAGCUGGGCCGAACGAGAGGCAAAGUAGGAAUGUGCCAGCUUGGUCUGUUAUUUCUCUAUACUCCCCCGCGUUGAACUGGUUCAACUUUUUGAACUGGUUCAAAGUUCAACUUUAGCAUGGUCCGGAACUUCAUCAGAAACUGGCAAGGAACAAAUCUUUGUUAUUGCCCGCUUCACAUCUCCUUUGCUGGUUCGAAUAUUCACCACUAGAACAACGUCAUCGGAACCUGGAUGGGUGGCUGUAACUUGUCCCAGCAACCACUUGCAUGGGGGCAGAUUGUCGGCCUUGAGUAGAACAAGCGCAUCCUUCUUGAUGUUGGCAAACGUCUGUUUCCAUUUGCCCCUUUCUUGCAGCUGGUUCAAGUAACAUUUAGACCAGCGCUUCCAAAAGUCCUGGUUGAUUUUCUGCAGCAGCUGAUAUCUUGAGAAGCUGCUAACUUUGACAUCUUCCAAAUUAGGGUCUGGAGCGGCAAUGAUUGGCCUCCCAAUUAAAAAAUGAGAAGGGGUAAGGGAUUCGAAAUCAGAGGGAUCAGAUGAUAAGGGAUAUAAAGGACGAAAGUUGAGAAUUGACUCUAUUUGAACUAGAAUUAUCGCAAACUCUUCAUACAUUUAAAUGGUGUUUUGAAUAACCCUCUUUAAGUGGUAUUUAACUCCCUUAAUGUUUGAUUCCCAUAAUCCACCAAACGUGGGCGAUCGUGGCGGAAUAAAAUGCCAUUCUGUACGAUAAUCACUCAGACUAACUGAAAUCUCGUUACUAGUAUUCGUCAGAAAUUCAUACAGAUUUGACAAUUCUCUGUUUGCCUCAAUAAAAUUUGACCCAUUAUCGGAAUAUAAAUGUGCUGGUUUGCCGCGUCUGGCGGUAAAUCGCCGAAAAGUGGCAAUAAAUGCCUCAGUGCUCAGAUCGGUGACAAGCUCGAGGUGUACUGCUUUAGUACCAAAACAAAUAGACAAACAAAUGUAAGCCUUAAAUUGCUUAGCACCUCGACCUUUCCGAUCUUUUAACAUAAAAUGACCGGCGUAAUCCACACCGGUCACGGUAAAUGGAGCUGACACUGUCACUCGCGCACUGGGUAAGUUUGACAUAAUAGUACUGCAGUCUUAAGGUUUAGCUUUAAAACAUGUAACACAUUUGUGUACAACACCCUUUGCAACAUUCAUGCCGUUAGUAGCCCAAUACUUUUCCCUAAUAGAAAACAAUAAUAAUUGUGGCCCUGCAUGUUUCAGUUGAACAUGCUCGGGUUCAAAGAUUAACUGGCUGAAAUAAUGCUUUCCAUCUAACAAGAAUGGAUGUUUCUUUUUAUAACUCACUGGUGCAUGUUUUAGGCGACCCCAACCCUUAAAAGCCCCUCUUUCUAUAAAAGGAGUAGGUGCUAAAAGUCUGUGUUUUGGUUUUAAAUUCUCACCAUUAGUCAGAAUUUCUAUUUCAGCGCUGAAUGAUUCAGCCUGUGCUAACUUUAUUAAAACAGUCAUAGCUUGUUCAAGCUGUUUAGGUGACAAAGGACCAAAUAAUCGUUUUUCCUUCUCAAUACUUUUUAAUUUGCUAUUGAAUAUGAAACGACAGUAAUAUGCUUGAACUCUUAAUAGUUUAUUUAAGGUUGAAAAACGAUUAAAAGGUAAACAACUUUCGAUUUCAUUUUUCUUUAAAACACAUACAUUUUUUACUAAAUCUGCUUAAUCAAGUUUUCCCGAAAAUAUCAUGUUUUUUGGCCAUUUUUUUUUCGCUCCUCAAGAAAUCAGGACCUUGCCACCAACAUUUUGAAUGCACCAAUUCAUUAGGACAUAUGCCACGAGUCGCAAGGUCUGCAGGAUUAUCUUUGGUAUUAACAUACCUCCAGGAAUCUAGCUCAGUUGAAUUUCUAAGUUCUGAAACUCGAUUACGAACAAAAACUUGCAAUUUAUCCAAAGGGGUAUGUAACCAAUGCAACACGAUUUGUGAGUCACAUCACAAAAAACAUUUAUACACCUUGAAUUGUAAAGCCUCAUUAACAACCUUUAUUAAACGGGUUAACAUCAACGCACCACACGAUUCGAGCCUAGGCACUGUUAUUGACUUAACGGCGCAACCUUAGUUUUCGAACAUAACAAAGAAAGCUGCGGUUUUCCUUGCUCAUCAAACCAGGUCAUAUAAAUUACCGCGCAAUACUCUUUGUGUGACGCAUCACUAAACCCAUGUAUCACAACAUUAGAAUUCUCUGACGAACCUAAGACAUAUCUAGGAAUCCUAAGGGAAUUAAACACCUCUAAAUUAUUUCGAAACUGAUUCCAAGAAAUUUCCAAAUCAUCUGGGAUCUUGUCAUCCCAAUCUAACUUAAGAGACCAUAGCUCUUAAAUUAGAAUCUUCACCACGACUAUAGCUGGACCUAACAGUCCCAAAGGGUCAAAAAUCUUUGCUAUGCUUGAUAGGACAUUUCUCUUUGUAGCAGGAAGUGAGGUAUCUAAAUUCUCUAUACGAAAAGUCAAAAAAUCAGAAGAACUGAUCCACUGAACUCCCAAAGUUUUAAUGUGUUGGUCAUCUCCAAAAUUUAAAACACUAAAAGGCUCCGAAGAAUCUUUCAAUGCAGCUAAUACCUCCGGUAUGUCUGAGGACCAUUUUUGCAGAGGGAAACACCCUGAUGCCAAAAUACUAGAAACUUCAGAACAAGUAUCAAUAGCCUCAGAUACACUGUCAAAACUUGAAAUCACGUAAUCAUCCACGUAAAAAUAAUUUAGAAUGAUAUUUGAAGCUUUUGAAAACUUGUCUUUACUCUCAAAUGCAAGCUGCUUAAUAAAUCUUAUCGCUAAAUAAGGAGAACUAACCAUCCCAUAGGUUACGGUAUUUAAAACGAAGGUAGAGAAAGGUUUGUCUGGAUCAUCCCUCCAAACUAUCUUUUGCAGACAUCUAUCCGCAGGAUCCACUAAAAUUUGUCUGUACAUUUUUGUGAUGUCCGCAGUCACAACAACCUUUCGUACCCUAAAUCUUAGUAAAAUGUGAAAAAUAUUGUUCUGAAUGGGAGGACCUUUAUAUUGAAUCUGAUUCAAGGAUUUGCCACUGCUUGGAACUGCCGAACCGUCAAACACUACUCUCAACUUCGUACUCACACUUUCCUCACGAAUAACACCAUGGUGAGGUAGAAAACACGAAACAUCUAACGUACGAUGUUCAUUCAGAUCUUCCAGUUCCAUAUGACCUAACCUCUUAUACUCCUCCAUGAAAUCCUUGUACAUAAUUUUGAACUUUUCAUUAAGAGCAAAUUUGCGCUCUAAAUUAACAAAUCGCUUGACAGCUAGAGUUUUUGUUGCUUCCACUUCAGUGGGUUUACACUUUAGAGGAAUUCUAACAACGAAUCUACCAUCAGCAUCCCUAUAAUGCUCCUUAACAAAUUGAUUUUCACAAAUCUCAUCAUCCUCUAAUGCAUCACUCCUGUCACUUACUUCUUCCACUGCCCAAAAUUUCAUCAUAUCCUCAUGAAUUUUCUCAUUGGUUACCAACAACGAAUUAACUGUCUCAGUCUGAUCAAAGGACUCUAAAGAAUCAUGCUGACAUAGCAAUCCCAAUUGCUUUGAAGGUAGGCAAACUGUUCCUGAAAUAAUGUAUCCAAACUGGCUGUUUUGUAAAAUAGGCAAAUUGUUACCUAAUGAUAUCUUAUACCCUCCUUUAGAAUACUCCAAAAAUGCUUAGCCCCAAUUAAAAAGUCAACUUUGCUAGAAACAAAAUACCUUGGGUCGGCAAGAACAAUAUUACCUGGAAUAUUCCAAGACGAAACAUCGAUAUUAAAUAUGAGCAAGUUUUCAGUAAUCUUUGGCAACACUAAACAAGACAUCUCAAAACCAAAUUCACUUUGCUUGGACCUUAAGGAAAUAUCACAUAUUUUAUUUAAACCCAAAAUUUCACUGUUUAACCCACAACAGACACAUUUGCACUACAAACUGGCAAAUCCAUUUCCUUAUAAAACGCUUCUGAAAUAAUACAAGAUUGGCUGCCACAAUCCAAAACUCCACGAGCAGUACAAAACCUGCCAUGCUUAUUCCUAACUAAAACUUCAGCAGUUGACAGUAAAACAUGUUCCUUUCUGGAACUCCGACUGGAUAGGGCAACAGCAAUCUCUGAAUUCUUAACCUCCUGAGUCACCACCAAUGUCUGUUCAACCUCAGGACUCUCUUGGCGUUUACUUGACACACCACCUAGCACCUCUGACUUUUCCAAGCUAGGUCUCGACUGAAAAUUAGUGUGCAACAAAGUAUGAUGCCUAAACUUACACUUCUUGCAGGGGUAAAACCUUCAUGUCUUGGAAAAGUGUCCCUUACAUAAACAAUUCGAACACAACUUCAAAUCUUUAACCUUGUCCCAUCUUUCAGAGACUGAAAACCCAAGAAAAAUGUUACAAUUAUAAAUUGCAUGACUCUGAUCACACAAAAAACACUUUACUUUUUCAUUUUCCUUGGUAAAAAACGAAUAACUCUGAGACUUACUACCCUUACUUUCAAAUUUAACAGUAUGUUUAACUUCCAGUGACUCAAGGAAAUCAGCACAGUUGCUCAAAAAAUUUAAAAAAUCUUGAAACAAAGGCAAAUUUUUAUCAUUCUCCUGCUCCCAACUACGAGCAGUACUCUUAUCCAACUUUAUGGAAAUAAAAUAAACAAGCCAAGCAUCCCAAUGCUCGAUAGGUAAUCCCAAACUUUUAAGUGCCCGUAAAUGCUUGUUAAGGGAGUCAAUCAAGUUCCUUAAACCCACCACCAAGUUAAAAAUGGCCUUAAGAUGGUCAUUUACCAAUAAACGAGAAUUGUCAAACCUCUUACAUAUAAAAUCCCAAGCUUCAGUGUAAUUGUUAGAGGAAAACUCUAAACUUUAAAUCACUUUAAUUGCCCCAUCCCCUAAAGACGCUCUCAAAUAAUGAAACUUUUGAAUUUCUCUCGAAAGAACUGUUAUGGUGAAUAAGUGAUUGAAAAGUUUCUCGAUAUUCAAGCGACUUACUAUGUUCCCCAUUAAAAUUUGGCAAUUUAAUUGGAGGUAAAUUCAUAUUAGAAAUAGUAGGCACUAUAUUUUGCGACAUAAACUGGGGUGGAAUUACCAGAGCAGGCGUUUGAACAGGAAUUUCAUCUUUUUUAGUUAACUUAUCUAAAGCCAAUUGUGCAGUUACCAAUGUGUCAGUAUGAAUUGCAGUAAAGCUUUCUCUGUCUGCGUAAUGCUCUUCUAACCUUGCAAUCGCACAAUUUAACUCGAUAGUAGACUGGACUUCUUUAUACUCAUUAAAAACUGCAACUAACUUUUCUAUUCGAAUUUGCAACUCACGGAUUGUUUUUUCACCCAGAUUUAAUUCCUGUUCAAUCGCUGCCUUUAUAGGAGCAAAGAAAUUAAUAAACCCUGCUAAUUUCUGUUUGAUAUAACAUAUAUUUGACAUUUUUAACAUCUACUAAAUCACAACCUAGAAUUAAUACGUCAUCCACGUAAGGCAAAACAAAUAAUUUUUGUUGUUAGAAAUUCGUUAGUACAAAUAAAAAUCAUGGCCUGAUUUAAGAAAAUUUUCUUUUAUCAUUAAAUUAUCAAACUUAUUGCUCCUAUACUUCGGAGACUUUAUAAGAUCCUAUAUAGACUUAUUUCAUUUAUAAACUUUUUGAUUCACAGUUUGUCCUGGCAAUGUCAUGUGCACCUCCUCCUUGAUGUCACCAUAAACCAAAGCACUUUGCACAUCCAUUUGAUGCAUUAUCAUUCCAUAAUAAUUGGCCAUUUUUAAAAGGAUUCAAAAUGUGCACAACUUGGCAACAGGUGCAUACAAGUCAUACGACCUCUCACUUUAGUUGUGCUAAAACCCCCUUGCCAAUAAACGCGCUUUAUAUUGUCCAUCACUUUUAAUCUUAAGAACCCAUUUAUUGUCUAUUAGUUUUUUGUCCUUGUGUCUUCUUUUGAAUACCCUCCUUCUAUUUUACAUUGUUCUUUUCCGACAGAUUUUCUUUUAAAUCCAAAGGCGCCUCACUGUCUGUGUAUUAAAGCACAUGUCACACUGGUCCAUAUCAGAAUUCAUAUCAUAAUCUUUCAUCCACACUGUUUGUCGAAUUUUCCUCUUUUCUGGUUUUCUUAAAAUACAUAUCUGUUGUUCAUUGACCUCUGGUUCAGCUUCCCUCACUGAUUCAACGAGAGAUUUAUCGGAACCAUUUACAUUCUCAAAAAUAUCAAUCUCCUCAUUAGGUUCAUCCAGCGCACUCUCACUACUCUGGUCACUUAGAUCAGCUGCCUCCUGUACUUCUUCAUGAUCAAAUUUGUCUCUUAAUAGGAGCCCUUGAUUUAUUUUCUCCUCCUCUUCUGAAAAAUUUAAAAGUCCAAGUUUUUCCUUUUUUAGAGGGUCCUUUAACUGAGGUUUGUCAUCUUCAGGUAUAAACACCAUAUCUAUAUAUCUCAAAAGUUUUCUUUUGUGGCAGAUAUACUCGAUAACCUUUUAUCAUAUGAUGAUGAUGUUGUUAGCAUCUAAUUUCGACCCUUUUUUGCUUUGGAAUAUGAACACUAACUUUUCUACCAUACUCCUGGAAAAAAAUCCAUACUUGACUAUUAUUUCUUCUAAUUGGGAAGUAAAGUCCGCCACCUUUCCAUCUACAUAGUUUAUAUAUUCUUGCUAUUUUCUUUAUUAAAUUUUGAUAAUUUGAUUUUCUUUUGCCCAUAUUUCUUUCUGAGGAUUUGCAGGCUAAAAUGGAAUUUGUGACACUCUUAUCCAGCCUGGAAACUAUAAGCUCUUGAGCCUUGUUAUCCCACUCUUGAUUGUUUCCUGGAGGCAUUAGCCUUUUUGUGGUGCCAUCCACUAUGCCCUAAAAUAGCCCUUUGACCUUAAUGCUAAUGUACUUGAAACUUCCAAGUAACCCAAUUUUCACGGUUUCAUUUUGCGAUAUUUAACAAGCCUACUUGCUCUGCCAUGUCUCUGUAUUCUUCUUAGGGUUCCUUCAAGCAUCACAGCUAAAGUAAUACACUUUUAUAGCUCUAAAAAAACUUUCACCGGCCCACCAAUUUCCACGACAAAAACCAAAACUUUAGAGCGGGUCUGGGCCCAUAAACUGUUGAACCAUUGUGUAUAUUGGGAAAUUGGGGUCUUAAUUAAAGGCACAAGAUACAGCUUAAAAAACUUUAAUUACUAGUAAAAAGGGAUUACAGUUUUCACACUUUUUACAUUUUUCAUUAUAUUGCAAACACUCUGAACUUAAACUACUUAGGCUAUUUCACCACAACCCCUGGUUGUAAAUAACGGAUUGUGGGUCGCUACCGGCAUAAUUUCAUCUUUUGCUAAAAAGUUGGUCCCAUUUGACGAGUUUUCCCUCCGGGUCAAUUAAAGACUUUAAAUCUUUGUGUUGCGCACUCAUUUCACCAUGUGAAGAUACUGACGGAUACAAAAAUAUACAUAAGUAAAAAUAAAUGGUUUCAUCUGUUGCCGGAUUUAUAAAUAAUGGUUUAAAAUUUGUGAAAAAAAAUGUGGUCAACAAAUUUGCUCUGUCAGUGCCGGUAAGUCUAUUGAUUUAAAAUUAUCCUAAUUUUACUUGCCAACGAUUAUUCAAAUACCUGCUAAAAAACUAAUGCACUUUUAGCAGGUAUGUCCUUGUUAUGCUCCCUUCUUAGGUUGUUCCUCAAAUUCACGAUUUCAGAAAAGUGGCCACUGUGUUUAUCCCAACUGAUUUGUGAUCUUAUUGACAUCUCACCUAUAGUGAUGUUUAUGAAAGCUUACUUUUCUUUGUAGUUUAGUGAUAUGAUAGAAAAAGCUUGCUUAGAAAAUCCUGGUUUUUCAUUAAUUGUACUGUACCAUUUUCGUAAUGUGUUUUGAUGAGGCAACAAUGAGUUUUUUAUUUUUGAAUUUAACAGCUUUAUAGUUAUAGCAAAUUCUAGCAAUUUCGCAUCCAUAUUUCCUUCUUUUAUUCAAAGUCUGCCAUUUUGUAUGUUUCUAGGGAAAAUAAACUCUCCUCUUUGCCGCCGUGGAUAACCAAUUUCCACUGCACGAGAGUCCAAAAGCUGGCAAACACAUAAUUAGAAAACUUGGCACAUGGCCACGUUAAAGCUAACGCUUCGCGCUCGAUUUGAGCAUAACUGUGCUCUCUUUUAGACAGCUAUCUAGCAUAAUAGACAUCUUUUUUAUUUUAUAUUGAAAUAAGACACGAUCCUAUACCAAAAGAAGAAGCAUCCACAGAAAUAAUGGUCUUCUGGCUGGCGUCAACAUUUUCAAGACAAGGAAUUUUCUGUAAUAAUGUUUUCAUUUUGUUAAAUGCCUCAAUUUAAGAUAUCAGUUCUGUUAAAUCGGCACGAAACCAUACCUAAAAAAACGAAGUUCAAAUAAUUUGACAAUCUCAUUUACGCCCUCGGGGUCUACAGACAUUUUCUUGUCAGAUAUGGGGGACCUGAAAAUUUAGAAACAAGAAAUGUACACCGAAAACACAUUUUUGUUUAUUUCAAGUUAUACCUUCUUUAUAAUUUCUUCUUAAAACUUCAUUUAAAAUGUUACUAUUCUCCUCAGUAGUCGGUGUAUAUCAUCGAUAUGCAAUAUUACCUUAUAAAGCCCCAUCAGAAUUUUAUUUAUUAGCAUAGAAAAAGUUCAGGUGGAUAGGUUACACCGAAUGGCAACAUUUUAAAUUUAAAACGACCGAAAGGUUUUAUGAAACACUAAAUCACACACAUUAAAUCCUGAUAUACUUUGCCGAGCUUAAUUGGAUAAAAUCCAGAGAUCGUAUCUAAACGACUAAGACAAAAAAGGACAGUGGUUUAUUUCGAUCAUACCUCCACUCAAUAUUUUGUAAGCACGUAUUUUUGGGAUCAACUACAAUUUGAUGGUAAAUUUUUUCUGUCUUCUGUAACUACAACUUUAUGUGCCUUUAUAAAAUAUGAAAAAUAUUAUUUUGUAUGGGAGGCACCUUUGUACUGAAUCUUAUUUACCGGUUUACCAUGACUUGGAACCACAGAACCAUCAAACACCGCUUGUAACUUUGCACUUAAACUCUCUUCUCUAAUAACGCCGUGAUGUGGUAAAAAUCCAUACACAUUUAUGGUAUCUUUAAUCUGCUCUAAUUCCAUGUGCCCUGAUAUUCUAUAUUCAUUCAUAAAUUCUUUAUAUUUAAAUUUAAAUUCUCCGUUAUGAGUGAAUUUAGAAAGCGUUGAAUAGCAAGAGCGUUUGUAUCUCCCGCUUUAGUUAUCCCUCUUUCAAGGGAAUUCUAACAAUCGAUCUAGUGGCCAUUAACAAAUUGAUUCUCACAAAUCUCAUCAUUCUCUAACAAACUAACAUUGUUACUUGCUUCCUCUACCUCUCAGAACUUGAUCAUAUUAUCUUUAUGAAUUUUUUCAGAAGAAACAAAUAAAUAAUUGACUACAGUUUAUUCGAGCCGUUCAAAUUUAUUAUGAGUAACGAAACCCCACGUUUUUGUUUUCAAAUCAAUUGUACUAGAAAUAACAUAACCAAGUUGAUUAUUUUGUAAUAUAGGCAAGUUCUUUCCCAAAGAAAUCUUUCUAUCCUUUAUGUUGUUCCAAAAAUGUUUUGCCCCAAUUAGUAAAUCAAUUUGAUUAGAUAUGAAAUAUUUCGAAUCAGCAAGAACAAUAUUAGCAGGUAUAUUCACUGUGAAAUGGCAAUAUCAAAUAUGGACACAUUUUCGGUAAGUUUAGGUAAUACUAAGCAAGAUAUAUUUACCGAAAACUCAUUACAGUGAGACUUUACCAUUAUUUCACACCUUUUUCUAAUACAACUUUUAUUAUUUAUUCCCACUACUGACACAUUUGCCUUAUGAACUGGUAAAUCUAUAAUCUGGAAAUAAAACAUGACUACCACUAUCUAAAAUUGCCCGAGCAAUACAAUAUCUAUUUUGACUACUUUUUACCAAAAUCUCUGUAGUGAAUAAAAUUUUUUAAAUUCAAUCACUGGCAAAGCGCGUUUUUGUUGGUUGUAAAAUAACAUUUUUACUAUUUUAUAUGUAUAUAUAUUAGGCCAGAGAAACAAAAAUUAUAUGCACGAUAAUGCCUUAUAAAGAAAACGUCGCGUGCUAAACGUUUUUAGUUUUUAUACUUGUCCAAGAAACUUCAUCUAAACUAUACCAUUUUUUACACUUAAAAUAGUCUAUUUUGGUUUUAAAGCAACAAUGGCAAAAUUAGCAAAUUUUCGGUUCAGGUAAAACCAAACGGGCACCAGUAAAAUGAAUAUUGUCACUGACGCGAGGAAAAGUGUCAAUAAAUCAGUAACAGUCGAUAUUUGAAAACAAGUAUGAAUUAUUCAAUCGACGAAAAAAUAGAUAUAAAUAUUUAAUUUAACUUCAUCGUUAUAUUAAAUAAAAGUUGAGAUAAAAAAGUAAUGUUAACGUGUCUUACUUUGAAUGUAUGGUUGAGGAGAUUGAUAAAACGAAAAAAAAAACAUUUCUUGUAUUCGGCUGUACGUCAGAUUUGACAAAGCCUUAUAACAAAUUGUUUGCUGGUGGUUGGUGUCUGGUUUUACCUGAACCGAAAAUUUGCUAAUUUUGCAAUUACAUUUAAUUGAAUAAUUCAAGAUUCGCUUAUUAAAAUUUUUUGAAACUUUGCACGAGGGUUUGCCAGAUUGGUCUCCGCAAAAAGUUAUCUUACAUUUUUCCUGUAAAACGUAUAGGGAAGCCAAUAAAUGACCCCCUUAAAAUUUACAUGGGAUUUCCUAUGUUCCGCUCGGCGACGCUCCACUCGGUAUAUACAAACAUUUAAGAUGUACUUACCUGUAGAUUUUUCCUGAAGACUUUCUUCAGUUUUUCACCGAAAACAAACUAGUACAUUUUGACUAAUUCAAUUAUUAACAAGUAAAAUGUAUUAUUAGACUAAAUAUAUUACAGUUUAAAUUUUUAAAGAACCCGAAACUAGAAAACAUGGAAAUGGGGAAAAUGUACAAGGCUGAGUCAUGAAGAAAGUUCGAGCAGAAGAGUGACAAGUGACAACAUUGGCAGGUAUGACUGUCUAUUACGCCAAUGUCAAUAUUAGCUGUUAAUAUCAAGUGUCAAUAUAGAUGGCGCUGCCCUUUCUAGUCAUUGAAUUACUAACUGUCAAGUGUCAAAAAUAAUGUAUCCGAAACGUGCUAUCUUUUGACAUCUCUCUUAUUUUACUUUCUCUAUGAGGCCGCCAUACUUAGAACCAACUAACUAGCAUAGCUGUUCGCAGGUGGCACUCCCUCUUCAGAGGUACAAAACUAGACCUACAAUACAAAUAGGCUAGGCAUUAGAUACAUUAUUAUUAUACUAAAGGUCGGAAUAUCUAUAAUACAGUUUUCUCGCCCCAACAAUUUUGGACCAAGCGUUUUCUUUACCUCGCCGAAGCCGAAAAUAACAAUACUCGCAUAACAAAACGUUUUAUAAUUUCACGGCUGCUUCAGAUAGAAACUCUACCUACCGGAUUUUUAAUCUAGCGGCUGGGAUCUACCUCCAUAACCUGUUGUAAUAUUUAGAUAUUUUUUAUUAAAAAGAACGUAUAGAUCAAGGCAAUGUUCAUGUAUUAGCUUUAAUUUAAAUGUAAUUUUUUGAUUAUCAACUCUAAUAAGGUAGGAUUAACACUUUUAUUCUACAUUAAGUUGUUAAUAUUGUGAUAAUUUUUAUAUUUUUGGUUAUAUCGCUUAUUGUAGUGUAAUAAAAGAUUUUCUUGUUGUGUUCCUA
Anthonomus grandis grandis is the source of this 15698-nucleotide long non-coding RNA. RefSeq lists it as uncharacterized. The transcript is spliced from 2 exons. Lineage: Eukaryota; Metazoa; Arthropoda; Insecta; Coleoptera; Curculionidae. The record is from RefSeq and is a predicted model, not a curated record.